CACGUGACCGAUGAGGACUGACGGAUACUCUGCGAUAGGUUUUCAUCUGAUUCUUUUCAGAAAAGGAGCAAAAUAAAUUCUGACAACAGGGGGAAGUUAGAAGUGAACCACGUAGCUGGUUCAAAGUUAUUUGUACGACUUCGUCACGAUAUGCGAGAUUCCGUCACUAACCAGGAGCCCAGACCAGUAGACUUCUACAGAGGGACUCACUGUUGGCAGGCGACGUGAUCUUGGG
This is a long non-coding RNA of Magnolia sinica, 235 nucleotides long. RefSeq lists it as uncharacterized. The record is from RefSeq and is a predicted model, not a curated record. The transcript has 3 exons. Lineage: Eukaryota; Viridiplantae; Streptophyta; Magnoliopsida; Magnoliales; Magnoliaceae.